Molecule: transfer RNA, 90 nt
Filed under: Cognatundibacterium squillarum
Lineage: Bacteria; Pseudomonadati; Pseudomonadota; Betaproteobacteria; Burkholderiales; Oxalobacteraceae
Also listed under: 1 other name
Description: Undibacterium squillarum tRNA-Ser
Rfam family: tRNA
About the family: Transfer RNA (tRNA) molecules are approximately 80 nucleotides in length.
Source: RNAcentral
GGAGAGGUGGCAGAGUGGUUGAAUGUACCUGACUCGAAAUCAGGCGUAGGGUAACACCUAUCGGGGGUUCGAAUCCCCCCCUCUCCGCCA